Molecule: long non-coding RNA, 2073 nt
Organism: Drosophila virilis
Lineage: Eukaryota; Metazoa; Arthropoda; Insecta; Diptera; Drosophilidae
Source: RefSeq, a predicted model, not a curated record
UAUAAAAAUGGGGCUUCAGUCGUACUCUUUAAAUAAAAAGAUAAACAGCUAAUAGAAACAUGCCGUUAUUAUUAACCUUAGUUUUCGGAGUGAUAGUAUAUGAAACUUAUAAAUGCAAAAAAUUAAUGAACGGCAGCUGCAUCCAAUAAUAUAAUAUAAUCCAAUAUAAUAACUAAUUGUAAAUAUAACGUGAUUUUAAUAUUAUUGUAAUUAAAGCUAUGAAUAACGAUUUAAGAAGUCUUCUGAAUCUGUUUAUACAUUCUAAUGAAUGAAUCAUUUACUUCUUCGCAUUUAAAUACGUAUACACGGGCUGUUUUUUCUAUCAUGUAUUUUUGGAAUAAUUUUAUUAAUAAAUAAAUAAAACAAAAGGUGACGAGACGUCAUUACAAAUUAUUGUAUAGACAAUGACGAGAGCCAAAUGUUGUUGUAACAAACCCAAAAUACUUUAUGAAUCAGUUUGAAAAAUAAAUAAGCCAAGACUCCCGCUUGCUCAUAAAUAAAUAAGCUAACCGAAUCAGACAAAGCGCAAGCAAAUUUCAACAAAUCUUUGUAAGUUUCUUUAAGUCGCCGUGUUGCGGGUUGAACUCAAGCGAUUAAACUUGCACCGAAACAUGGAAACAUGGAAAAGCUAGAAUAAAGCAGCAGUUAAGUUUAAUAAAGCUUAUCAGCGAUUUUACAGUUUUAUGGCCAAAAUUUCCAUUUAGCAACCGCUGACCCGGCACCCUUUUGCAAAUGCCGUUUAAUGAGCUGCUCACGCAUAAAAUUUGCCAUUUUUGGUGCGCCUAAGGCUAUGCAAUAAAAUUCAAAUGCAUAUUUUAAUUGCAUUUCGCUGCAGUCGAGUGCCAGUUGUCGUUGUCCUUUUCGAUGUCCUCUCACUGGCACCCACAACGAUCCAGUCCAGAGUAGAUAAUGCAUUAAAAUGGUUGCCGUUGUACACAGCGCGUAAAGUAAUUAAACGCCGCCGCCGCAAAGCUAAUAAAAAUGUCAAAUGUCAGGCUAUAAAACAUAGGCUGGACACCCACACACACACACAUCCACACAUACAGGACUGUGUGCGUGUGUGCGUGUGUGUGUAUCUGAUUGGUUGUCUGCCGACCGCACGGUUCACACCCUCAUCCAUUCACCGCAAAUUUGAUGAGGUGCACUUCUAGGGGCCUAGCCUCGCCCACCUUUCAACAUUUGAUGGCGUCAGGUUUAUAUGCAACAUGUCCAGCGAACUGUUCGCUUUGCAGCGCGCCUGUGGUUAGUUGAUUGCUCUUGUUGCUUACGCGAUUUCAUGGGCGAGUCUGCUUUCUGUUUAUAUUUACUUUAACAACACUUUUGUCAUCAAAUUGAUUCUUUAACAACAAAGUUUUAUCCUCGAGUGGAUUAAUUUCUUGCAAUUUAAUCGCACCUUAUACCCAACAGAGUUUCAGCCAACUAGUCUAUUUUAAAAAAAUAUCUUAUGUUACGCAUAAAAUUAAAAAAACAAUAUGCACAUCGCCUCGAACUUUAUACAGUUUGAUUUAUUUUGGAUUUAGAAUUUGCCAAUUAAAAUUGUUUAUAUGACAAGCAUUUAAAUAACUUUUAUAACCUUGAGAAAUCUAGUAUAAAGUUCCGAAGUAAAGUCUGUAUCUGAAUAAAAUAAUCCAAAGAUAUCCAACAGAUAAAUUUAAAAAGCUGAAAAACUAAGAACUGAAUUCGAUGUUGAGCUAUCUAAAAUUGCAACUGUCAAAGUGCUUUGUAGUUAGAGUCAAAUUUAACGCUUUAAGCCAAUUGCAUACAUUCACAAACUAGGCUAUUAAAUAUGCCCAAAAGGAACUAAAGCCAACGGCAUUUUGUGGUGACCUUAGAAACAGUCAAGCAAGUCCCAGAUAGAGCCGAGGAGGAGACACGGCAGCUGCGGGGCAAUCAAAUGGCUAAGUGAGACCUCAAAACUUUUAAGUGAUGUUUGCAAAAUAUAUAUGCUAACCAACAAAAAUUUGUGGUAAUCAAAAUAUGAGCAUAAACCUGGUUCCUAACACAUCCUCGAGCGGUUAUCGAAGUUGGAAUGUUUUUACUGUAAAUAGCUUGUUUUUAAUUUAAAUAAACGAA